UGGGGAAUAUUGCACAAUGGGGGAAACCCUGAUGCAGCGACGCCGCGUGAGCGAAGAAGGCUUUCGAGUCGUAAAGCUCUGUCCUAUGAGAAGAUAAUGACGGUAUCAUAGGAGGAAGCCCUGGCUAAAUACGUGCCAGCAGCCGCGGUAAUACGUAUGGGGCGAGCGUUGUCCGGAAUUAUUGGGCGUAAAGGGUACGUAGGCGGUUUUUUAAGUCAGGUGUCAAAGCGUGGAGCUUAACUCCAUUAAGCACUUGAAACUGAAAGACUUGAGUGAAGGAGAGGAAAGUGGAAUUCCUAGUGUAGCGAUGAAAUGCGUAGAUAUUAAAAAGAAUACCGGUGGCGAAGGCGACUUACUGGGCUCAUUCUGACGCUGAGGAACGAAAGCGUGGGUAGCAAACAGG
RNAcentral lists this ribosomal RNA (403 nucleotides) under Verrucomicrobiota bacterium. RNAcentral describes it as "Verrucomicrobia bacterium partial 16S ribosomal RNA". It matches the Rfam family "Bacterial small subunit ribosomal RNA", at positions 355 to 776 of the family's 1533-position model. Lineage: Bacteria; Pseudomonadati; Verrucomicrobiota. The record is from RNAcentral.